This 172-nucleotide ribosomal RNA is filed under the name Fusarium udum f. sp. crotalariae. Its description in RNAcentral is "partial 18S ribosomal RNA". It matches the Rfam family "Eukaryotic small subunit ribosomal RNA", at positions 1662 to 1831 of the family's 1831-position model. Lineage: Eukaryota; Fungi; Ascomycota; Sordariomycetes; Hypocreales; Nectriaceae. The record is from RNAcentral.
GUACACACCGCCCGUCGCUACUACCGAUUGAAUGGCUCAGUGAGGCGUCCGGACUGGCCCAGAGAGGUGGGCAACUACCACUCAGGGCCGGAAAGCUCUCCAAACUCGGUCAUUUAGAGGAAGUAAAAGUCGUAACAAGGUCUCCGUUGGUGAACCAGCGGAGGGAUCAUUA